Molecule: ribosomal RNA, 1023 nt
Filed under: uncultured organism
Description: bacterial SSU rRNA
Rfam family: Bacterial small subunit ribosomal RNA
Source: RNAcentral
AUGGGCGCAAGCCUGACGGAGCAACGCCGCAUGUGUGAAGAAGGCUCUUUGGCUGUCAACCACUUUUCUCAUGGAAGAAGUCCUGACGGUACCUGAGGAAUCAGCCUCGGCUAACUCCGUGCCAGCAGCCGCGGUAAUACGGAGGAGGCAAGCGUUAUCCGGAAUUAUUGGGCGUACAGCGUCCGCAGGGGGCACUUCAAGUCUGCUGUCAAAGGUCGGAGCUUAACUCCGGUUCGGCAGUGGAAACUGGAGUGCUAGAGGGCGACAGGGGUAGAGGGAAUUCCCAGUGUAGCGGUGCACUGCGUAGAGAUUGGGAAGAACACCGGUGGCGAAAGCGCUCUACUGGGUCGCACCUGACCCUCAGGGACGAAAGCUAAGGUAGCGAAAGGGAUUAGAUACCCCUGUAGUCUUAGCCGUAAACGAUGGAUACUAGGCGUGGUUUGUAUCGACCCAAGCCGUGCCGAAGCUAACGCGCUAAGUAUCCCGCCUGGGGAGUACGCACGCAAGUGUGAAACUCAAAGGAAUUGACGGGGGCCCGCACAAGCGGUGGAGGAUGUGGUUUAAUUCGAUGCAACGCGAAGAACCUUACCAGGGCUUGACAUCCCGCGAAUCUUGCUGAAAGGUGAGAGUGCCUUCGGGAGCGCGGAGACAGGUGGUGCAUGGCAGUCGUCAGCUCGUGUCGUGAGAUGUUGGGUUAAGUCCCGCAACGAGCGCAACCCUCGUCGUUAGUUGCCAGCAUUAAGUUGGGCACUCUAGGGAGACUGCCGGUGACAAACCGGAGGAAGGUGAGGAUGACGUCAAGUCAGCAUGCCCGUUAUGAUGUGGGCGACACACGUCCUACAAUGGUCGGGACAAAGGGGAGCAAGCUCGCGAGAGUAAGCGAAUCCCAGCAAACUCGGCCUCAGUUCAGAUUGCAGGCUGCAACUCGCCUGCAUGAAGGAGGAAUCGCUAGUAAUCGCAGGUCAGCAUACUGCGGUGAAUUCGUUCCCGGGCCUUGUACACACCGCCCGUCACACCAUGGAA